This 662-nucleotide long non-coding RNA is filed under the name Brassica napus (rape). RNAcentral's name for it is "long non-coding RNA (BNAP_LNC026551)". Lineage: Eukaryota; Viridiplantae; Streptophyta; Magnoliopsida; Brassicales; Brassicaceae. The record is from RNAcentral.
GUUUAGUGAUUAGGAUUUAGGGUUUAGUAUUUGGAAGAUGGGGGUUGAGGUUUUGGUCAACAUUAACUUCUUUCAUGCAAGCAUAAACAUUUUAUAACUUCUCCAACAUGUACUAUACUAUUUAUUUUGUUCCAUUCUAUUUAGGUUUAUGGUUGAUAUUUGAGUUUAUGGUUCAUAUUUAGGUUUAGAGUUUAGUGAUUAUGGUUUAUGGUUUAGCAUUUAGAGGUUGGAGGUGGGUUUAGGAUAAAUUUAUUAUUUAGGAGUUGAGAUGGAGUUGGUGUCUUAUACUAUUAGGGAUUAUGGAUAUGGUUAUAGUCUUAUACCACUUUGGCCAUAUGAAAUAGAACGCUCUGUACCUAUUUAUGUGGUCACUAAACGUGCGACAUAGAUAGCUUCUUCUUCUUUUAUGUAUAAAUAUGUUUGUGGCAAAUAAGUGUGUGACGUGAGUUUUAUUACAGUGCAUAGUAUGCCAUAAAUAAGUGUGUAAGUUGGUGGCAUUACGUGAUAUGAUAGUAAUAAUGGUGUUUUUCUCUCAUCCAUAUAUUUUAACAACUACAUCAUUCACCUUUUUUUUUCUACCCGCUACUUAUAAAAGAUGGGGGUAUAACCGACUAAAAUAGAAACUAAUUGUUAGUGAGUUAGUUAUGUCAAAAUCAUUGACA